CCUACGGGUGGCAGCAGUGAGGAAUAUUGGUCAAUGGGCGAGAGCCUGAACCAGCCAAGUCGCGUGAGGGAGUACUGCCCUAUGGGUUGUAAACCUCUUUUGUCGGGGAGCAAAAGCCGGACGUGUCCGGCUGUGAGAGUACCCGAAGAAAAAGCAUCGGCUAACUCCGUGCCAGCAGCCGCGGUAAUACGGAGGAUGCGAGCGUUAUCCGGAUUUAUUGGGUUUAAAGGGUGCGCAGGCGGAUUUUUAAGUCAGCGGUAAAAUCGUGGGGCUCAACCCCAUCCAGCCGUUGAAACUGGGGAUCUAGAGUGUGCGAGAGGUAUGCGGAAUGCGUGGUGUAGCGGUGAAAUGCAUAGAUAUCACGCAGAACCCCGAUGGCGAAGGCAGCAUACCGGUGCACAACUGACGCUCAGGCACGAAAGCGUGGGUAUCGAACAGGAUUAGAUACCCUUGUAGUC
This 458-nucleotide ribosomal RNA is filed under the name uncultured bacterium. RNAcentral describes it as "partial 16S ribosomal RNA". It matches the Rfam family "Bacterial small subunit ribosomal RNA", at positions 338 to 795 of the family's 1533-position model. The record is from RNAcentral.